Molecule: ribosomal RNA, 152 nt
Organism: Hyalella azteca
Lineage: Eukaryota; Metazoa; Arthropoda; Malacostraca; Amphipoda; Hyalellidae
Product: 5.8S ribosomal RNA
Exons: 1
Source: RefSeq, a predicted model, not a curated record
AACUUUUAACGGUGGAUCUCUAGGCUCGUGCAUCGAUGAAGAACGCAGCGAAAUGCGAUACGUAGUGUGAAUUGCAGAUCGUGAAUCAUCGAAUCUUUGAACGCAAAUUGCGGUUCCUGGUAACUCCAGGGACCAUGCCCGGUUGAGUGUCA